Molecule: ribosomal RNA, 972 nt
Filed under: Chryseobacterium sp.
Lineage: Bacteria; Pseudomonadati; Bacteroidota; Flavobacteriia; Flavobacteriales; Weeksellaceae
Description: bacterial SSU rRNA
Rfam family: Bacterial small subunit ribosomal RNA
Source: RNAcentral
CCAGCAGCCGCGGUAAUACGAGGGUGCAAGCGUUAUCCGGAUUUAUUGGGUUUAAAGGGUCCGUAGGCGGAUUUGUAAGUCAGUGGUGAAAUCUCACAGCUUAACUGUGAAACUGCCAUUGAUACUGCAAGUCUUGAGUGUUGUUGAAGUAGCUGGAAUAAGUAGUGUAGCGGUGAAAUGCAUAGAUAUUACUUAGAACACCAAUUGCGAAGGCAGGUUACUAAGCAACAACUGACGCUGAUGGACGAAAGCGUGGGGAGCGAACAGGAUUAGAUACCCUGGUAGUCCACGCCGUAAACGAUGCUAACUCGUUUUUGGGCUUUUGGGUUCAGAGACUAAGCGAAAGUGAUAAGUUAGCCACCUGGGGAGUACGAACGCAAGUUUGAAACUCAAAGGAAUUGACGGGGGCCCGCACAAGCGGUGGAUUAUGUGGUUUAAUUCGAUGAUACGCGAGGAACCUUACCAAGGCUUAAAUGGGAAAUGACAGGUUUAGAAAUAGACUUUUCUUCGGACAUUUUUCAAGGUGCUGCAUGGUUGUCGUCAGCUCGUGCCGUGAGGUGUUAGGUUAAGUCCUGCAACGAGCGCAACCCCUGUCACUAGUUGCCAUCAUUAAGUUGGGGACUCUAGUGAGACUGCCUACGCAAGUAGAGAGGAAGGUGGGGAUGACGUCAAAUCAUCACGGCCCUUACGCCUUGGGCCACACACGUAAUACAAUGGCCGGUACAGAGGGCAGCUACACAGCGAUGUGAUGCAAAUCUCGAAAGCCGGUCUCAGUUCGGAUUGGAGUCUGCAACUCGACUCUAUGAAGCUGGAAUCGCUAGUAAUCGCGCAUCAGCCAUGGCGCGGUGAAUACGUUCCCGGGCCUUGUACACACCGCCCGUCAAGCCAUGGAAGUCUGGGGUACCUGAAGUCGGUGACCGUAACAGGAGCUGCCUAGGGUAAAACAGGUAACUAGGGCUAAGUCGUAACAAG